UUAAGUUAUUAAGGGCGCACGGUGGAUGCCUUGGCACUAGAAGCCGAUGAAGGACGUUACUAACGACGAUAUGCUUUGGGGAGCUGUAAGUAAGCUUUGAUCCAGAGAUUUCCGAAUGGGGAAACCCAGCAUGAGUUAUGUCAUGUUAUCGAUAUGUGAAUACAUAGCAUAUCAGAAGGCACACCCGGAGAACUGAAACAUCUUAGUACCCGGAGGAAGAGAAAGAAAAUUCGAUUCCCUUAGUAGCGGCGAGCGAAACGGGAAGAGCCCAAACCAACAAGCUUGCUUGUUGGGGUUGUAGGACACUCUAUACGGAGUUACAAAGGACGACAUUAGACGAAUCAUCUGGAAAGAUGAAUCAAAGAAGGUAAUAAUCCUGUAGUCGAAAAUGUUGUCUCUCUUGAGUGGAUCCUGAGUACGACGGAGCACGUGAAAUUCCGUCGGAAUCUGGGAGGACCAUCUCCUAAGGCUAAAUACUCUCUAGUGACCGAUAGUGAACCAGUACCGUGAGGGAAAGGUGAAAAGCACCCCGGAAGGGGAGUGAAAUUAGAACCUGAAACCGUGUGCUUACAAGUAGUCAGAGCCCGUUAAUGGGUGAUGGCGUGCCUUUUGUAGAAUGAACCGGCGAGUUACGAUUUGAUGCAAGGUUAAGCAGUAAAUGUGGAGCCGUAGCGAAAGCGAGUCUGAAUAGGGCGUUUAGUAUUUGGUCGUAGACCCGAAACCAGGUGAUCUACCCUUGGUCAGGUUGAAGUUCAGGUAACACUGAAUGGAGGACCGAACCGACUUACGUUGAAAAGUGAGCGGAUGAACUGAGGGUAGCGGAGAAAUUCCAAUCGAACCUGGAGAUAGCUGGUUCUCUCCGAAAUAGCUUUAGGGCUAGCCUCAAGUGAUGAUUAUUGGAGGUAGAGCACUGUUUGGACGAGGGGCCCCUCUCGGGUUACCGAAUUCAGACAAACUCCGAAUGCCAAUUAAUUUAACUUGGGAGUCAGAACAUGGGUGAUAAGGUCCGUGUUCGAAAGGGAAACAGCCCAGACCACCAGCUAAGGUCCCAAAAUAUAUGUUAAGUGGAAAAGGAUGUGGCGUUGCCCAGACAACUAGGAUGUUGGCUUAGAAGCAGCCAUCAUUUAAAGAGUGCGUAAUAGCUCACUAGUCGAGUGACACUGCGCCGAAAAUGUACCGGGGCUAAACAUAUUACCGAAGCUGUGGAUUGUCCUUUGGACAAUGGUAGGAGAGCGUUCUAAGGGCGUUGAAGCAUGAUCGUAAGGACAUGUGGAGCGCUUAGAAGUGAGAAUGCCGGUGUGAGUAGCGAAAGACGGGUGAGAAUCCCGUCCACCGAUUGACUAAGGUUUCCAGAGGAAGGCUCGUCCGCUCUGGGUUAGUCGGGUCCUAAGCUGAGGCCGACAGGCGUAGGCGAUGGAUAACAGGUUGAUAUUCCUGUACCACCUAUAAUCGUUUUAAUCGAUGGGGGGACGCAGUAGGAUAGGCGAAGCGUGCGAUUGGAUUGCACGUCUAAGCAGUAAGGCUGAGUAUUAGGCAAAUCCGGUACUCAUUAAGGCUGAGCUGUGAUGGGGAGAAGACAUUGUGUCUUCGAGUCGUUGAUUUCACACUGCCGAGAAAAGCCUCUAGAUAGAAAAUAGGUGCCCGUACCGCAAACCGACACAGGUAGUCAAGAUGAGAAUUCUAAGGUGAGCGAGCGAACUCUCGUUAAGGAACUCGGCAAAAUGACCCCGUAACUUCGGGAGAAGGGGUGCUCUUUAGGGUUAACGCCCAGAAGAGCCGCAGUGAAUAGGCCCAAGCGACUGUUUAUCAAAAACACAGGUCUCUGCUAAACCGUAAGGUGAUGUAUAGGGGCUGACGCCUGCCCGGUGCUGGAAGGUUAAGAGGAGUGGUUAGCUUCUGCGAAGCUACGAAUCGAAGCCCCAGUAAACGGCGGCCGUAACUAUAACGGUCCUAAGGUAGCGAAAUUCCUUGUCGGGUAAGUUCCGACCCGCACGAAAGGCGUAACGAUUUGGGCACUGUCUCAACGAGAGACUCGGUGAAAUCAUAGUACCUGUGAAGAUGCAGGUUACCCGCGACAGGACGGAAAGACCCCGUGGAGCUUUACUGUAGCCUGAUAUUGAAAUUCGGCACAGCUUGUACAGGAUAGGUAGGAGCCUUUGAAACGUGAGCGCUAGCUUACGUGGAGGCGCUGGUGGGAUACUACCCUAGCUGUGUUGGCUUUCUAACCCGCACCACUUAUCGUGGUGGGAGACAGUGUCAGGCGGGCAGUUUGACUGGGGCGGUCGCCUCCUAAAAGGUAACGGAGGCGCUCAAAGGUUCCCUCAGAAUGGUUGGAAAUCAUUCAUAGAGUGUAAAGGCAUAAGGGAGCUUGACUGCGAGACCUACAAGUCGAGCAGGGUCGAAAGACGGACUUAGUGAUCCGGUGGUUCCGCAUGGAAGGGCCAUCGCUCAACGGAUAAAAGCUACCCCGGGGAUAACAGGCUUAUCUCCCCCAAGAGUUCACAUCGACGGGGAGGUUUGGCACCUCGAUGUCGGCUCAUCGCAUCCUGGGGCUGUAGUCGGUCCCAAGGGUUGGGCUGUUCGCCCAUUAAAGCGGUACGCGAGCUGGGUUCAGAACGUCGUGAGACAGUUCGGUCCCUAUCCGUCGUGGGCGUAGGAAAUUUGAGAGGAGCUGUCCUUAGUACGAGAGGACCGGGAUGGACAUACCUCUGGUGUACCAGUUGUCGUGCCAACGGCAUAGCUGGGUAGCUAUGUGUGGACGGGAUAAGUGCUGAAAGCAUCUAAGCAUGAAGCCCCCCUCAAGAUGAGAUUUCCCAACUUCGGUUAUAAGAUCCCUCAAAGAUGAUGAGGUUAAUAGGUUCGAGGUGGAAGCAUGGUGACAUGUGGAGCUGACGAAUACUAAUCGAUCGAAGACUUAAUCAA
RNAcentral lists this ribosomal RNA (2922 nucleotides) under Staphylococcus aureus subsp. aureus CIG1605. RNAcentral's name for it is "bacterial LSU rRNA". It matches the Rfam family "Bacterial large subunit ribosomal RNA". The record is from RNAcentral. Lineage: Bacteria; Bacillati; Bacillota; Bacilli; Caryophanales; Staphylococcaceae.